RNAcentral lists this ribosomal RNA (417 nucleotides) under bacterium mgm04. RNAcentral describes it as "bacterial SSU rRNA". It matches the Rfam family "Bacterial small subunit ribosomal RNA", at positions 98 to 499 of the family's 1533-position model. The record is from RNAcentral.
GCGGACGGGUGAGUAACACGUGGGUAACCUGCCUGUAAGACUGGGAUAACUCCGGGAAACCGGGGCUAAUACCGGAUAACUCAGUUCCUCGCAUGAGGAACGGUUGAAAGGUGGCUUUUUGCUACCACUUACAGAUGGACCCGCGGCGCAUUAGCUAGUUGGUGAGGUAACGGCUCACCAAGGCGACGAUGCGUAGCCGACCUGAGAGGGUGAUCGGCCACACUGGGACUGAGACACGGCCCAGACUCCUACGGGAGGCAGCAGUAGGGAAUCUUCCGCAAUGGACGAAAGUCUGACGGAGCAACGCCGCGUGAGUGAAGAAGGUUUUCGGAUCGUAAAACUCUGUUGUUAGGGAAGAACAAGUGCCGUUCGAAUAGGGCGGCACCUUGACGGUACCUAACCAGAAAGCCACGGCUA